Macrobrachium nipponense is the source of this 1298-nucleotide long non-coding RNA. RefSeq lists it as uncharacterized. NCBI's taxonomy places the organism in Eukaryota, Metazoa, Arthropoda, Malacostraca, Decapoda, Palaemonidae. The record is from RefSeq and is a predicted model, not a curated record. The transcript has 2 exons.
GCAUUUAACACUGACGUUUGAGCAACUGUUAUCACUUAUCUUCGAGUAUCUACACCGGACGAGGGCGGCAUCGAACAUCAACGGAAAGAAGAAAACAAACACAGGGAACAUCACCCGUUCACGAGCAAGGACGCAGAGUGGACAGCUAUACGCAGUAGUGCAAGGACGGAGGCUGUGACGUCAUCCAUCUUGGACUCUACCGCGCAUCGUGCACCGAGAGAAGGCCGUGACGUCAUCACGACUUCCGACGCGAGACGUGGACAGGAACUGUGACGUCAUCCCAUGUCAACAAUCCUUCGCAAUAUAAUCUGGAGCUAAGUACCAUUUUUAUCUAUUCAGGUCUUUUCCUCAGUGAAGUGUUGUUCAUCAAGAGUCGAUCGUCCAGUAUUCUGGGGGUUUUCAAAAAUGAAUCUGUUAUUGUUGGGAGUGAUAUUGUGUAUUCAGACAUCUUUGUUGUAUGGAAAGAGUGCUAGGACUAAAGACAUAGAAUUUAAUCAUGGCUCGAUUAUCGAGAGAAUCGAUGAUGUAUUCAUCGUGUCAAGUAAUAUUGUUAUCGAGGUAGAUAUGCAUGCUAUUUUCCUACCUGAAGAUGACGUCCUUAACUUAAAGAAUGACCUGAUGAGGUUUGGUAUUUCCCUUAAGGAAAUGCAUGAACGUAAUUUUCAUGCUAACUCAGAGAUUUCACUAGCUCAAACGCUAAGCGUCGCAGAAAUGUUGUCUUAUGACAUACAAAAUAAAACCGCCGAGGCAGAAGAACUCGCUCGUGACCUGCUGAUGUGGUCUGUGCGGCACAAUACUCUUGAACGCCGCAACCCGCUUAUUCUAGCUGGACUAAACAUCUUAGGAUCAGUUGCGAAUCUAGGCUUAGGAAUCUCAAAUCGCCUCAAGAUAAAUAAUCAAAAUAAAAGAAUUGAGUUUUUGCACACAAAACGGAACUGGCCUUAUCAGAACUUCGCAGCCAGUUAUCUUCGAUCAAUCAAAUAAUGAAUAUCGUUAAUGAACAUUCAAAUAAUAUCGAUCAGGUCAUGGAAGUUCAACAUUUGCUGGCUACUUUAGCUUACUAUAGUUCGAAAAUAGAUCAUAUCCGUGUGAAAAUAUCACAUUUUAUUGAAAAGUCAAAAGAUUACGUAGAAGCAAUUACGUUAGCAACAAAGGGGUGUGUUAUCUCCUCACCUCAUGCCUAUAAAAGAUCUGACGUUAACUUUAGAAAACGGACGGGAGAAGCUAGGUUAUAUUCCUUUAUUGGAUGCCCAUAAAGUAGAAUUCUAUUAUAGCCUAAUAUCAGUCAGCGUAGAAAA